This 247-nucleotide ribosomal RNA is filed under the name uncultured Finegoldia sp. Its description in RNAcentral is "partial 16S ribosomal RNA". It matches the Rfam family "Bacterial small subunit ribosomal RNA", at positions 109 to 355 of the family's 1533-position model. The record is from RNAcentral. Lineage: Bacteria; Bacillati; Bacillota; Tissierellia; Tissierellales; Peptoniphilaceae.
AGUAACGCGUGAGCAACCUGCCUAUGACAGUGGGAUAGCCUCGGGAAACCGGGAUUAAUACCGCAUAAAAUCGUAGAAACACAUGUUUCAACGGUCAAAGAUUUAUCGGUCAUAGAUGGGCUCGCGUCUGAUUAGCUAGUUGGUGAGAUAACAGCCCACCAAGGCGACGAUCAGUAGCCGGUCUGAGAGGAUGAACGGCCACAUUGGAACUGAGACACGGUCCAAACUCCUACGGGAGGCAGCAGCC